AUACGGAGGGGGUUAGCGUUGUUCGGAAUUACUGGGCGUAAAGCGCACGUAGGCGGAUUGGAAAGUUGGGGGUGAAAUCCCAGGGCUCAACCCUGGAACUGCCUCCAAAACUAACAGUCUAGAGUUCGAGAGAGGUGAGUGGAAUUCCAAGUGUAGAGGUGAAAUUCGUAGAUAUUUGGAGGAACACCAGUGGCGAAGGCGGCUCACUGGCUCGAUACUGACGCUGAGGUGCGAAAGCGUGGGGAGCAAACAGCACUAGAUACCCUUGUAGUCC
Molecule: ribosomal RNA, 274 nt
Filed under: uncultured bacterium
Lineage: Bacteria
Description: partial 16S ribosomal RNA
Rfam family: Bacterial small subunit ribosomal RNA
Source: RNAcentral